Molecule: ribosomal RNA, 614 nt
Filed under: Klebsiella pneumoniae
Lineage: Bacteria; Pseudomonadati; Pseudomonadota; Gammaproteobacteria; Enterobacterales; Enterobacteriaceae
Description: partial 23S ribosomal RNA
Rfam family: Bacterial large subunit ribosomal RNA
Source: RNAcentral
GGUUAACCGUAUAGGGGAGCCGCAGGGAAACCGAGUCUUAACUGGGCGUUAAGUUGCAGGGUAUAGACCCGAAACCCGGUGAUCUAGCCAUGGGCAGGUUGAAGGUUGGGUAACACUAACUGGAGGACCGAACCGACUAAUGUUGAAAAAUUAGCGGAUGACUUGUGGCUGGGGGUGAAAGGCCAAUCAAACCGGGAGAUAGCUGGUUCUCCCCGAAAGCUAUUUAGGUAGCGCCUCGUGAACUCAUCUUCGGGGGUAGAGCACUGUUUCGGCUAGGGGGUCAUCCCGACUUACCAACCCGAUGCAAACUACGAAUACCGAAGAAUGUUAUCACGGGAGACACACGGCGGGUGCUAACGUCCGUCGUGAAGAGGGAAACAACCCAGACCGCCAGCUAAGGUCCCAAAGUCAUGGUUAAGUGGGAAACGAUGUGGGAAGGCACAGACAGCCAGGAUGUUGGCUUAGAAGCAGCCAUCAUUUAAAGAAAGCGUAAUAGCUCACUGGUCGAGUCGGCCUGCGCGGAAGAUGUAACGGGGCUAAACCAUGCACCGAAGCUGCGGCAGCGACACUAUGUGUUGUUGGGUAGGGGAGCGUUCUGUAAGCCUGCGAAGGUG